UAAUGUUGCAGAAAAAGGCAGAAAAAGACCAGUGGCUGGAAGGUGAAAACAGACAAAUUAAUAGUAGAAAUAAGGCACAAAUAUUUCAUAGUGAGGAUGAUUCACUAUUGGAUCAAAUUACCAAAGCAGGUGACAGAGUGUCCAUUUCUUGGUGUUUUCUAAUGAAGACUAGAUGCCUUUCUAGUGUAUGCUUGGAUCUAAAUUUCGCUACUAUGAUAUACAGGAGGGCUGUGAUAUGCAGAGGUCAGAUUCAAUCCUGUAAUGGUCCCUUCUUCUGGCCUUAAAGUCUACAAAUUAAAGAAAAACUGAGUGUGGCCAAAAAGCAGCUUCUGGGGCUUUACUGUGCAGCCAGCUUGCUCCCCAGACUCAGCUUUCAUUAGGUGGAAUUCAAGGGAAGGAACUCAGACAUCCAGAGAGGCUGGCCAGGAACAGGACAUCAACCUUAGAAGGGAGGUGAGGGUGUGGCAGUGACAUCACAAAAGUUUGUUGCAGGACCUCCGCCUAUUGGGAAACGUGGUGGGAAGGUGGUGACCUCACAGAGAUACCCUGACAUCAGCCAGGCAGAACAGAGGCACAAGGCAGGGGCAACCUCAGAGACUUCCAUGCCUUUGCAGCAACAGGGCUCCUAUGAGCAACUAUGAGCAACAAGGGUUCAAGGUCUCUCUUUGGAGAGUGAGAGAGAAUUAGGGUUAAUCUACACGAGCAUGAGAAGGAGCCUUGUCGGAGUUUUCUUCUUCCCUGCAACUGAUUUUGUAGUCCCUGUUUAGAAGGAUUUGCGGUAUCUAAAGGUUUGUGAGUGAAAACAAGAUAAAAAUGCAAGGAACAAUGCAGAUCUGGACUGGUUCCUACACUUGGGUCAGACUUUGAUGGCUUGAAAUGCACAGCCUAAAGAUCUCAGCCUCCUGGAAGGGGGAGGAAAAUCUCUGCGUAAUUAAGCUUCAUACCAAUCUACAGAAACAAUGGACAACAGCCAUUUGAACACAAAUAUGAAAUCUGGCACAGAGGGAAGGAGAUUAUACAUCCACAUCUAAUCAACUGGGCCUCAGUUUAACAUGACGCUUACUUGUAAACAAAAAAUAAUUACAUUUGGGUUUCUCUGUUUAUGUCAAGAGAAAAAAACAACAAAGAUUUUUUUGUUCUGUUUACUAAAAUCUUAGUAAGUGUGACACUGAUUAAAGUCCAAUUGCCAAGAAUGAAUAGUGAUAGUUUGAAAAGUGGCACAAAUAUUUUAUCUGAUGGGCAAUAUAUAUAACCAGCUUUUAAACUGCAAAAUAAUAUUGGUGUGUUGUUGGGGCACCAAAACAGGAGAACUGAGAAAAAUGAUUAUUAGAUUGUUCUAGGGAAUAAGGGGGUAAUGCAUAACUUUAUUACAUUGCCUAAAUGUUUGCAAUGAAACCCAAAACCACACAGAACUUGCCAGGAUUCAGGUUUCAUUGCAAACUUGAAACUCAGCUCUGGGGAUAGGUUUGCAAAUGUUUGCAAAACUAUUGAGUCAACCUGGGCCCUACCUCAAACAAACUGGAGUUAUGGUUUACAGUUGAAAGAGCCAUGGGAAAUGUGCAGUGUCAAAUCAAAACCAAGUGAAAUAGAGAGAAUUUGACAGUUUCACUUUGAAUUGUGGGGAUUGUUUUAACCAAAACUCAGACAUUUCAUAAUACAAGCAGACCAAAAUUGAUAGCCGUGUAAAGUAUAUACAGAGCAAUGGAAAGAAAACAUCAUGUUUAGAGUCUUUACCAUAAUAUCUACUUUUAUCUUACUGUGUCACUUCUAGACUAAAGAAUUGCAUUCACCUCUAGUUUAAUCCAGCUUUGAUGGGACUUUAGGUGGUGGAAAAGUCUGCCUGGUGAUUUGGUGGCCAGCAAUGCCCCAUUACCAUACCAUCACAAUCUUAAAUCAUUUAUCCUCAUAACACUCCUGUGAAAUAGUGAAGUGCUAUUAUCCCCCUUUUACAGAUGGGGCACUGAGAAAAUCUGCCUGGUUGAGAUGUAGGGCUUCAGAAGGGGCCAGCAGUACUGGCUAUGAGGAGUACAUGGCCAGGGAUUGGCAGGGGAGAGGAGGUAGUUCAGGGAUUCAGCACAUCCGGUUGGAAAGAUUCACUAGCAGGGCUCUUAGCAUCCCACGUCCCAUUAGAAACUAAAACUGUAUCUUUUCCAGGGGGAAAACAAUUGAUUUUUCCAUAGCAAUACCUAACCCAGGAGAGAUCUCACUCCAAAAUCCUAGCAGAGACAACGGCACAGAUUGUCAUUCGCUCAGUGUAGCUAGCAGAGAUAAAUCCCAGGUUGACCCCAACUAGCCACAUCAAGGUACAAAAUACAAGAGUUUUUAACUAAAGCAAGAGUCAGGAGGCUAGAGAAGAGCACGUGCACAAGCACGAGAAUGACUAUAGCCUACUGAGAGAGCACCUGCCUGCAAGGUGGGAGAUACGGGAUCCAGUUCCUCUGCUGCAAUGGCUAAUUAUUUAUUCACAGUGGCAUACUUUCAACAGGAGAGAGUGAGGGAAUCUGACAUCGGAAUGCUCCAUAUUCAUACUCACUCGAAAGGCGGCAGAUCCCUGUUCAAAUCACUUCUCAUCAGGAGGAGGGGUCCUUAAGCCCAGACUCUCCCAAAUCCCAGGUAAGUACCCUAACCACUGGGUAAAAGUUAUGAGGCAGAUGGUCUUCCUUCUCUAUCCUCCACAUACCCAAUGAUUAUCUGUUUUGUGUGACGAGCCUGGGGGCAGAUCUGACAGGGGUGCCCUAAGCAUAUAUGCCAGAUCAGACUGCACAUGCAGGUUGGGGUGAUGAAAUUCUAUUCUUCCUGGCUGCAAUCGCUCUUGGGCAGGGGUCUCAAACUCAUGGCCUACAGGCCAUCUGCAGCCGGAGCAGUUCCACUGCUGGGGAUUGCUGGGGAGCCUGAUGCAGGAUGGCAGCAUGAGUCAGGUCUCCCCGUAUUCACUGCAGCCGCAGGCGCUGCAGGGAAGUGGAAUG
Long non-coding RNA from Pelodiscus sinensis (Chinese soft-shelled turtle), 2966 nucleotides. RefSeq lists it as uncharacterized. NCBI's taxonomy places the organism in Eukaryota, Metazoa, Chordata, Testudines, Trionychidae. The record is from RefSeq and is a predicted model, not a curated record.